This 321-nucleotide long non-coding RNA is filed under the name Ananas comosus (pineapple). Its description in RNAcentral is "long non-coding RNA (ACOM_LNC032276)". Lineage: Eukaryota; Viridiplantae; Streptophyta; Magnoliopsida; Poales; Bromeliaceae. The record is from RNAcentral.
AUUUGGCUUUAUUUUUUAUAGUUAAUUUGCUAAUUUAUAAAAGAAUUAGACCUCCUUUGAAAUUGCGAAAAAAUUGUAUUACGUAAAAAGGUGAUGAAAAAAAAUUCUAUUUGUUUCCGUACGUAAUAUUACAUUCCGUAUAUCACGAUUAGUCGAUUACAAUAUAUUUUCUACAGUCUUAUUGAAGAACGCAAAAACAUACCCCUAUAUACUUUUUUCUCAAUUCUAUUUUCUCUAAUAGAGUUAGAUAUGUCUCAAUACCAAACUAAGCCUUAGACUAUGCUAAUUUUACUAAAUAACUAGAUAGCAAAACACUCCAAA